Molecule: long non-coding RNA, 4512 nt
Organism: Oenanthe melanoleuca
Lineage: Eukaryota; Metazoa; Chordata; Aves; Passeriformes; Muscicapidae
Exons: 3
Source: RefSeq, a predicted model, not a curated record
UUGUGUUUAGAAGACAGAGCUGCUUAGUCUGUUCAAAGUCUUAUCCUUUUUUUUUUUUUCCUAAUGAUAGAAAAUCUGUAGCUAACAGAAGGUAGAGAAUGACAUUUUGAGACUGCUAAAAGUACUGCUGUAUAUGUAUCAAAUAGCAGGAUACACAGAAAUGUAGAAAGAUUUUGUGGGCAAAAUGUGGCGAAUUCAUGGAACAUGUGGAAAAGACCACACAGAAAAACUGUAUGAAAAGUCAGCACUGGCAGCAGCUCUUGAGCAAUAAUAGCAAAAAGAAAAUGGACAUUUGCCUCCUUCUCAGCUUCUCCUCUGUUUUGAACAGGGUUGCCAGGUGGUGUCCAUGCCCUGCUUGAAAUGGCUGACACAAGGACAGUCUCACAUCAGCACUGUAAAUACUGUGUGUCUCUUCACAAAACAUUUAAGUGUGUCUUGGUCUGCUGCCUCUGCUGUUUACCCAAGUAGCUACAAACCAUCUCUCUCAAGAUGGCUUGCAGGCACAUCACAUUUCACCUUCCUGAAGGGGAGGAGGACAGGAAGAAGAGGAAACUUAAUUUUGAAGGUCAGCAUGGCCAAAGCUUUCUGAUUUCCAUAAAGAUGCCAGACAGUGACAUCCUAUCUACUCUGUGUUCCUAUGCUUUAUGUUGGGAACUCCAUUGCCUGAUGGAAAUGUUGCAGGAGAAUAACUUGACUCUCACCAGCACUGCACUAAGCAAAAGUAACAAAUGGUGUCAUUGCUGAAGCCUGUGAAACAAUAUUUGUAGUCAUGGUUGUAACUGGAGCCAACGGCAGAGGCACUGAACCAGAACCUACAUAGAACCCAAGCCUUGCCAAGGUCACAUGUUAUCCUAUUUAUUUGUUUUAACUUGACUAAGUAGGGUUUUGAUCAUUUAACCAUGGCCCUUGUUCAUAAGAGUCCUAUGGGCUUGUGAGAAAACAACUCUUUGGUGUUUUCAAAUAUGAUUUCAAUUAAAUAUUGUUAUUCAGAACAAAUGUUUCCACCUAACACAUCAUGUAACUGCAAUCUGUGCUUUUGCCUUCAAGUCUUUUAUAGUGAACACAGGUUAAAUGACCACAUAAAAUAAUUAACAGUGGCCUUGUGUAAAAAAAAAUACAUGCAGAAAUAAGACUGAAAAACCGUAAUCUCUAGUGUACUUGACCAAAACAGCCAAUUCUGUUUGGCAAAUUCUAAAAUACUGGCUUUUGAACCAUGACUGUAGUAAGCUUCCCUAGAAUUGAAUGCAGCCCACUUGCUGCAAGGAUACGUUCUCAGCUGAAGGCUGCAUGUUGGAAGUGAUUAUUAGUGGUUUUAAUUAUAUCACAGCAAGUACUGUAACAAGUAGAUACAUUAUUUUUUAGUUCCAUUUCUCAGCCAUUCAUUCUGUAUAAAGAUGUGUCUGUGUUCUGCUCAACACCUGACACAUGCUUCUCAAAAAUGGCUCCAUUUCAAAUGUAAGGGAAGUGAUCCCUGCACAGAAGGCCUAAUAUACAAAAUUAUUGAACCCUCAUGUUUCUGAUAGAAGACAGGGUGAGUUGUUGCUUAAAAACUCUUUCUGAACAUUGCCACCAGCAGCAAUUGUUUGGGGGAAAAAAGACUAUAUGGUACAUAUAUGUUAUCACAUUUUUAUUUUUUAUGCUAAAUCAUAGUGAAAUUCCUAAUGGAAAAAAACAAACAAGGAAUAGUGCAACUUGCAAAAUAAAGCUUUUGCUAAGUACUCUCUGUCUUCCCAGCUUUACUAGAAAAGCUGCCAUGAGCCAUCUUUUUAAUAACAUUAGGAAAUAUAACAUUACAAAGUUACAAACAUUUAUAAAGGCCACUAAAUAUUAUGCCAAACUUAAAGGUCUGACCUUUUUAACCUCAAAACUACAGACAUUUUAACCAACCUGCAUUCAUAAAAGAAAUAUUGAUAGACUCUUAACUCUUGUGAAUCCAGUGAUUACUGGCAUAAAGAAAAGCAAUAACACAUUCUGCAAUAUGUUGCAAUAAAUCUGUAUACAACAUAGUUUAUAGAUUUGUAAGUUUUAGAUUGUCAUGAUAGUUUUCUAUUUUUAUCAACAACAUUUAAAAAAAGCCCCAAAAACCAGUAAGUAAACCUGGAAUACUACAGGCCAAUCAAUAAAGUUUAAAAGUUCCAGUGAAGCUAACCUAUAACAGGUCCUUGUUUGGAGAAUAUGCUCAAGAAACACAUGUGCCUUUAAGAGGUCUUGAAAGAAUUUACACCCAUGGACCAUUACCAUUUCCAAACACCCUGCAGCUUUACCAGCCCAACAUGUGCUGACUGUAUAUCACCAUGACCCUUUCACUAAAGCUCUUUUGACUGGAGUGCUUUUAAUACCCACUUUCUCAGCUGAGCUCAGGAGUGAUUUGUUUUACAUGCCACAUUAAUCCUUUCCACAUUUUCUGGAUGAGGCAACCACAAUUCCACUUGUGAGGUGUUUCUAAAACAUAGUUAUAGGAAUAAAGCAGCAGGGUCCCAGACUUGACAACUUCCCUUCGGGCGGCUGACAAAGUGGGCUAUCGUGGCUGGUGUGGGAGCGAGCACUUGUGCCCAGCAGCCAGGGUGGCCUGCUCUCCAUGGUUAGUCAGAGGCCCAAUUAUUGUUGGCAAUUCAGCCACAAUUAAAACCCUGUAGAGAUCUACAUAGAUUUAAUGUCCAAUGAAUGCUGAUGCUGAUUAAUAAAACGCAGCUCGUCUUUUAUAAGCGCGAGAUGAAAUGCAACAGAGAGAAGCAGAACUGAAAGUAUAAAUCGCAGCUCCGUAAAACCCAAGAAGUUUAUGCCUCACACCUACGUGAUUGGAGGAAAAGAGCGUUUUAUAAAUGGGCAAUUAGUGUUCAGUGCACUGGCUUUUAUUACGUGGUAAUUUUACAGUUUUCACUUUAAAGACACCCAAAAAGAAAUCAAAGGCCAAAUGAAUUUCUGUUGUAUGCAUUUAUGAGCUUUCUGCAUUUAUAAUGUUAGCUCAAUCUCACUAAUGUAGGGGUAUGAAAAUUUAGUGUUGUCAACAAGGCUAACAGAGUGGACCAACCAAUUACAAAACUGUUUUUACAUGUCAGCGCUGUGCACAUUUUAUUAACAAGUUAGUAUUAUACUCAAUUUUUUAUGUGUUAAAUCGAACUGUACAAGUAACUGCAGAACAAAAAUUAUGUUUCUACACGAGUUAAUUUAUUGCUCUUCCCCCAUAAAUUUUACUUACAAGUUCAAUGGUCUGAGCUGAACUAUAAAUUAGAGUGAGGUGAGUCUUACAUACAACUCGAUUUACUCUGGUAAUUUCUAAAGGAAGUAUCUGAAUCCACAUGCCUGUCUACAAUUGUCUUUACAGUAAGAUGAAGAAACAGUAUAAAAACAGCAGUGGCUGAUCAACAGUUUUCUGUUAAAAGCUUUUAUGCUCCCAUGCAAGGCUGUUCAACAAAACUUCAAAUAAAAAAGUAACUUCAUGAGCCAUUCAUGCUGUGUGGCAGGUGUCACCAGAUGGUGCCAUUUCAAUCUUCCAGACUUCUUUUCUUCCUUUUUUCUUCUUAAAUUUAAGCAUGGAAAUAAAUAUUCACUCCUGGAAUGAUAUAUUAAUUUUUUAAUUUGUGUUAGUAGAGUUGUGUGAGCAGGGAGCUGUGUUAUUGGAAGGUUGCUGGUUGCUAUUUGCUUUGAUCUAGUACUAGAAUCUGUUCUUCAGGUGGAAUUGUUGCUUGUAAUCCCAGUUUUACUGAUGAGUAAAUCUGAGACUCUUUAGCAAGGGAAUUACUUGCACACCGUUUGAUUCUCUGUUUCAGUACUUAUUUAUAUGUAUAAAUAAACCAAGUUAUACUUAGAAUAUAACCAGAGGCUACAUAUCUGAUUUCCCUGAACUGUGAAAACACCUGCAAUUUCUCUGCAGGAGGACAACAAAGAUGCCUGCACAAAUUAUCUUCCUUUAAUUUGCAACAAGAUACUUGCUGAUCUUUUAAGAUAUGCUAAUUUUAAGAUAUGUUAAUUACCUGAAGCUGGAUGCUAGGGGCACCCAGCUUUUUUACAGGUCUCCUGGGCAUCAAAUAGAACCUCUCUGCCAGUUUUGCCAGCUGUACAUUAAGACCUUGUUGACUACACCUUUUUUGUGUUUUCUUCUUUUCUCACUAUAUGCUGGUAGAGAGCUCAGAAGCACAGAAAUAUCAGCAUGUCUUCUUUACAUUUUAUUUUUGAGAAAGUAUUAUAGGUGCAGAAGCUCUGACCCUGAGCUUGCUCUUCCCACCUUCAUCUGACUGGCUAUUUCAAAUAAUUCUCAAACCUUUUGGGCAAGAAGUAUGACUGAGCCACUGUUUGUUACUAGUAGGAUACAGAGGGUAAUGUGAAGUAUUCAAGAAAUAAAUUUUGGUGUCGUUGAGGAAUGUUGGAGCCAGUGAAGAAGUGAGAAUGCACCAUUUGUGACACCAAUGCUCAUCGUUUCCCCAGCACAAAGACAAUGUUCCACUAUCACCUGUGACCUCAGUGUGGACAUUCCCUCCAGCAGGGUAAAGCUGAUGGUUUGUACCAAAAGCC